GUUGAUACCUAGAACACUGGCAGCAACGCAUACCAACCAUUAGCACCAGUCAAUGAUAUUUGUGAUGCAUUUUUGAAUGUUCAGUUGACUGAGUUUCAUGUUUAAUGAAGAAAAGUUAAUAAUAAUAGUAAUAAUAAUAAUAGUGAUAAUAAUAGUA
Molecule: non-coding RNA, 157 nt
Organism: Pseudonaja textilis
Lineage: Eukaryota; Metazoa; Chordata; Lepidosauria; Squamata; Elapidae
Source: RefSeq, a predicted model, not a curated record